GUUCACCACUGUGGAUACCGAGAUAGUGGGACCCAGCACCACUCCCCUACCCCAAGUGUCCAGGCAUUCUCUCGUCUCCACCUCCGUGUUGCCGGAGGAGUGCUGGGUUACAGUAAUGACUUUACCACCGACCUGUCUGCCCUGUGUGGGGCUUUCUGGCAAACAGCACCCUGGAGCCUCCUGCCUGAGCCCUGGGGUCUUUCACAGAAACUAUUGUUCCUGACGCUUCAAAGCCCUUUCAGGCCCUUCCAACCCAGCCCAAGCCCAUUGCCAAAGUCUUUACAAAUGCACAAAAGAAAUAAAGUACUUUGUUAACUUAGUAAA
Molecule: long non-coding RNA, 324 nt
Organism: Peromyscus eremicus (cactus mouse)
Lineage: Eukaryota; Metazoa; Chordata; Mammalia; Rodentia; Cricetidae
Exons: 2
Source: RefSeq, a predicted model, not a curated record